This 280-nucleotide ribosomal RNA is filed under the name Odoribacter splanchnicus. RNAcentral's name for it is "partial 16S ribosomal RNA". It matches the Rfam family "Bacterial small subunit ribosomal RNA", at positions 496 to 776 of the family's 1533-position model. Lineage: Bacteria; Pseudomonadati; Bacteroidota; Bacteroidia; Bacteroidales; Odoribacteraceae. The record is from RNAcentral.
UAUGGUUGUGUGCCAGCAGCCGCGGUAAUACGGAGGAUGCGAGCGUUAUCCGGAUUUAUUGGGUUUAAAGGGUGCGUAGGCGGUUUAUUAAGUUAGUGGUUAAAUAUUUGAGCUAAACUCAAUUGUGCCAUUAAUACUGGUAAACUGGAGUACAGACGAGGUAGGCGGAAUAAGUUAAGUAGCGGUGAAAUGCAUAGAUAUAACUUAGAACUCCGAUAGCGAAGGCAGCUUACCAGACUGUAACUGACGCUGAUGCACGAGAGCGUGGGUAGCGAACAGG